RNAcentral lists this ribosomal RNA (301 nucleotides) under uncultured bacterium. Its description in RNAcentral is "partial 16S ribosomal RNA". It matches the Rfam family "Bacterial small subunit ribosomal RNA", at positions 509 to 808 of the family's 1533-position model. The record is from RNAcentral.
CAGUCGCCGCGGUAAUACAGAGGGUGCGAGCGUUAAUCGGAUUUACUGGGCGUAAAGCGUGCGUAGGCGGCUUUUUAAGUCGGAUGUGAAAUCCCUGAGCUUAACUUAGGAAUUGCAUUCGAUACUGGGAAGCUAGAGUAUGGGAGAGGAUGGUAGAAUUCCAGGUGUAGCGGUGAAAUGCGUAGAGAUCUGGAGGAAUACCGAUGGCGAAGGCAGCCAUCUGGCCUAAUACUGACGCUGAGGUACGAAAGCAUGGGGAGCAAACAGGAUUAGAUACCCCGGUAGUCCCUGUCUCUAUACA